Molecule: non-coding RNA, 2409 nt
Organism: Lepisosteus oculatus (spotted gar)
Lineage: Eukaryota; Metazoa; Chordata; Actinopteri; Semionotiformes; Lepisosteidae
Source: RefSeq, a predicted model, not a curated record
UGAAGGUUGACAUCACCCUCAAAAGCAAAAAGAAGAAAUGCAACUUUUUACACAGGAUGUGGUGAGCAUAUAAAAAAUUAAAGAUUAAUGUUCACAGGCCCAUUUCCAUUUGACCACUGAGAUGUUUGCCAAUGCUAAGAUACAGAAGUAUGAUUCUCCUUUUGCUUGUCAGCGUAGUUUCGGCGUCUUCAGAUGAAUCGUUUAAGAAUCUGUAUCAUCUUUGCCUGUUCCACUUGAUUCAAUAAGCUACAAAACUGCUCCUUUCAGAAAAAACUUGAAAUGCUGUUUUUUCUCUGCAUAAGGUGUCAUUACUGACAUUCUUCCAGUCAGGCUCUUCAGAGUAAGAGGGGAUUCUGCUCAUCUGACUGUUCCAGGAUAUGAGCAGCUGAAAUUCUUUUGGAUAUCAUGGUGUUUUGGAUUCAGUAACAUAGUCGAAUACACGAAAGACUCAGAACGUGUUUUGCUGUAUCCAAAGUAUAAAAACAAGGUGCAGUUUAACAAGAAGGAUUUCUCUUUACUUAUCAAUUACCUGGAGGAGGGGGACAAUGGUCUUUUUAAAGCUGUGGUGAUUGAUAUACUUGGAACUGAUACAACUGUGGCAGAGUAUAUUGUAUAUGUUCGUGAGAAGGUGUCCCCACCAGCCCUUCUGGUCAAUAAGAGUGAAUUCUGCAGCUUCUUAGUCAUGUGCUCCACUGAUGGAGCCGAGUCUUCUACCUACUCCUGCAGGCAAUCUCACUGCACUGAGAUCACAGCGAACUACAGCAGGUCCCCUGCUCUGCUCAUCGACGUGUCUACGGAUGGGAGAUCAGUGGUGUGCAACGUCAGCAAUCAGGUCAGCUGGAGCAUCAGUUCAGUGGCUGUGAGCGACAGCUGUCCAUUCACCGCCAGUGACACCUUUACUGGUUUUCCGCUGUGUCUCAUGAAGAUCAUCGUGCUCUCUGUGGGGCUGGUCUUCAUGGUGGCAGCUGUUAUUGGAGUUCAUGUCUGGGUCAGCACUAAAUCAAGCUGAGUACUGUACAUAUGAAUCAAGCAGCUUACAGAAGCAGAAACACCUGUAGAUGCCCCAGGUAUAAGAAAAUAAGGUCUGAAUUGGAAGUCAACAAUCCCAUUUCAAGGAAUGCAGGCUGUUGUCACGAUGGCUACUCCUCCUCUUAAGGGCGCUCCAGCUCUUCCUCGUUUGCCUUAUUCCCCGCACCUGUCCCUCGUUCCAGCCUCCUUCCUGUCCCCCUUUAAAAGCCAGACACAGUUGCCAAUCGAGGCUCUGCAUCUGAUUCCCGCAUCGUGCGAACCUGGGACCUGGAUUUGUCUGGGCCUGUUAUGCUUUUAACUUUUUGCUCCUGCUCCUGCUCCUGCUCCUGCUCCCAUUCCCGCUCCCGUUCCCAUUCCCGUUCCCAACCCGGCACCUGGUUUUAAUCCCUUGUUUUGGAUGGAUCACCCACCCAUGGACUUUUGCUUUCGUUUGGAUUCUUCUUUGGACCUCUUCUAGGAUUGUUUGCCUCGGCCACACCUCCCCGGAUCACCAGCACUCCAUUGGACUCCAUUGGACACGCCCCCUGUCUUUAUUCCCGUCUCCUGCAUGACUUAUCCCCCCGUGUUUUCUCACUAUUCCGGAUUGUGUCGUCAGCGUAGGGUCUGAAAAGAACUGUUACCUGACAGCUGUUGUAUGUUUUCAUUCAAGUUGUUAAACUGUCUGUCCCUCUGUAGGGAUGCAAAGAGUCAAGGAACUGUCCAGUGAAGGUUUGAGAUGAGCUUAAUACUGAUGGAAAAAGGCUAUUUCCAGAGAACACUAAAGAGACACACAAGGUGUAUUUUCCACAGUGUCCCGAAUGGCAACAGAGUCCAGCCACAGUCGCCCAAUUUAAAAUUGUAAUAAAUUAUUACAAUUUUACAAAAAAGUAUCUAAAAAUCUGAAUUAUUGCUUGACACAGAAAUUUGUCUAGGAUGUAGAAAACAGACUAGAAUCAAGGGCACGAGGUAGAAAAGGAAAGGGGAAGUCAGGCCUAGGGGUCUUACAAUUUAAAAUUGUAAUACAUUUUGGUUACCAUGUUAAAUUAUUGCAUUCAAUUUGAAAUUGGUAUUUAGGUUCUAGUACUGUACUUUUUCUUUUUUUAAUGGCAUCUGUUCUUUUUUUUAUUUCAAAGGCAGCCAGGACACUAGACUUAACUUCUCUUGGAAAUGUGUCUCAUAGGUUAAUUGUUAAUGACUGUAUCCAGGAACAAGUUUGUAUACACACUGUUGUAAUAUUUUUCCCAUCGUGAGUACUUUGUGAGUUCAAACAGCAGCUUACAAGAUUGUGAAACAAAUUUCACAGCGUGAUAUAGAUGAUGCUUCUUCCUCUUUCUUGGAAAAUACAAAUCAAAUGAAUAAAAUUAUGAAUUAAUUUACUAACAAUUCUGCCUUUUUGUGAUC